AAACUCAUUUUUUAAAGGGUGCAUUCCCUCAUAUUUUAUUUUUUUUAAUCACCAGUGAGCUUCUAUAAGGACGCGCAACCUGUGAAACCUCUUUGCUUCAGAGUGUGGAACAGAACGGAGCAGUAAGCACCACCUUUCUCCACCCUUCAGGCUCCAUCUUCCCCCAGCGUGCACGCGCGCCACGUGGAACCCUUUUCACUGAGAGUGUGGAAUUACAUUAUUCUGCAUUUGGAGGGUUCAGUCCUUGACUCCUCGCCUCCCUCGGGGGAAAACCUGGCGCCUCCUGCCCGGAUCAGACGACUCGGAGCUGGACGGAGUGGAGAGGGGGAGGCGGGGGAGGCGGGGGAGGAAAAACAGUUUUUAAAAAAAAAAAGGAGAAAAAAAAAAGGAGGAGAAAUCGGUGAAAUGUGGCGCGGGGAGGAUGGAGGGAUGUCAUGAGUUGCAAGAAAAGCAGGAGUCACGACGACGGCACAACUGCUGCAGGAACAGGGACCGUCCUUAAUUUGGGGAGCUGCAUCCUGCUUUGUUACUAAAUCUAAACAGAUCGACCAUUGAUGGUGUUUCAUCGAGAUCAUCCAUUCAUCAUAUUAAAUAAACAAUUCACGGGGUAAUACAGUUUUUCUUAGCUUACAUUUUAACCUGUGAUUUUUCUUUAUGCAGUUACCGAAAUAAGAAAAACGCGUAAUCAUAUCAUAAUAUUUAUAUACGUUUAUACGUUUUUAUAUAUUUUCUAUAUAUAUUCUUUCAAUGCUGCUGCAAUUGUAUGCAAAGUGCUCUAUAUUUAACUGAAUAAACUGGAGAUAGAUCCCUCCAAAACAAAUAAAAACAAAAACAAG
This is a non-coding RNA of Gasterosteus aculeatus aculeatus (three-spined stickleback), 836 nucleotides long. The record is from RefSeq and is a predicted model, not a curated record. Lineage: Eukaryota; Metazoa; Chordata; Actinopteri; Perciformes; Gasterosteidae.